Non-coding RNA from Gossypium hirsutum (cotton), 46 nucleotides. The record is from Rfam. NCBI's taxonomy places the organism in Eukaryota, Viridiplantae, Streptophyta, Magnoliopsida, Malvales, Malvaceae.
CCAAUGGAGUUUUUAGACUCCACAAAUAGGAUCAAAGAUUGACAAG